This is a long non-coding RNA of Chrysemys picta bellii (western painted turtle), 540 nucleotides long. RefSeq lists it as uncharacterized. Lineage: Eukaryota; Metazoa; Chordata; Testudines; Emydidae. The record is from RefSeq and is a predicted model, not a curated record.
AGACUGUCAGUGCUAAAUCCGAGUUGACAAGAGCAGCUGAGUCACAGGAAACAGCUUCUCCAAUAUUUAAGUUACAUGGUGCUAUUGCUUUCCUACGUGUAAGUAACUGUAUAAGUGCAAGGCAAUGGACAUCCUCUUGGACCCAAGACCUGGAGUUGCCUUUGACUAGCUAGUUGUCGAGAUACAGCUAGAUCUGGAUACCCCGACGCCUGAGGGCCUAGAGGAAGGGGAAGGGGAGGUCCUGCAUCGAUUGCUGAGCCUCCGUUGACAGACCCAAGAGAAGCAGUCAAGACGCCCUUCGCAUGGAGAUGGCCACGGCCAUGGUGCGAGCCGGAGAGUCUGCUGCAUCUGAGGCUGCUUGAAGGGUCGCUCUUGCUGCAGCCGUGCCCUCUUCGAGGAUCGCCCAGAAUUCCUUCCUGGACGUUUCGGGCUGCGAGACCUUGAAUUUGGCCAUAGAUUGCCACAUAUUGUAGUCAUAGCGGCGAAGGAGGGUUUGGUGGUUGGCCACUCUCUACUUACGGCUGGAAGAUGAAUAAAUAU